UACAGAGGUCCCAAGCGUUGUUCGGAUUCACUGGGCGUAAGGGUGCGUAGGCGGUUGGGUAAGUCUGACGUGAAAUCUCCGGGCCUAACCCGGAAACUGCGUCGGAUACUAUCCGGCUAGAGGAUUGGAAGGGAGACUGGAAUACUUGGUGUAGCAGUGAAAUGCGUAGAUAUCGUAAGGAAGACCAGUGGCGAAGGCGGGUCUCUGGACAGUUCCUGACGCUGAGGCACGAAGGCCAGGGGAGCAAACGGG
This 252-nucleotide ribosomal RNA is filed under the name uncultured bacterium. RNAcentral describes it as "partial 16S ribosomal RNA". It matches the Rfam family "Bacterial small subunit ribosomal RNA", at positions 524 to 776 of the family's 1533-position model. The record is from RNAcentral.